GGGCAGUUAGCUCAGUUUGGUUAGAGCGUCUGGUUUACACCCAGAAGGUCACAGGUCCGAAUCCUGUACUGCCCA
RNAcentral lists this transfer RNA (75 nucleotides) under Planctomycetia bacterium. RNAcentral's name for it is "tRNA-Val". It matches the Rfam family "tRNA". Rfam says of the family: Transfer RNA (tRNA) molecules are approximately 80 nucleotides in length. The record is from RNAcentral. Lineage: Bacteria; Pseudomonadati; Planctomycetota; Planctomycetia.